This 497-nucleotide ribosomal RNA is filed under the name uncultured bacterium. Its description in RNAcentral is "partial 16S ribosomal RNA". It matches the Rfam family "Bacterial small subunit ribosomal RNA", at positions 28 to 507 of the family's 1533-position model. The record is from RNAcentral.
GAUGAACGCUGGCGGCGUGCCUAAUACAUGCAAGUCGAGCGAACAGACGAGGAGCUUGCUCCUCUGACGUUAGCGGCGGACGGGUGAGUAACACGUGGAUAACCUACCUAUAAGACUGGGAUAACUUCGGGAAACCGGAGCUAAUACCGGAUAAUAUAUUGAACCGCAUGGUUCAAUAGUGAAAGACGGUUUUGCUGUCACUUAUAGAUGGAUCCGCGCCGCAUUAGCUAGUUGGUAAGGUAACGGCUUACCAAGGCGACGAUGCGUAGCCGACCUGAGAGGGGGAUCGGCCACACUGGAACUGAGACACGGUCCAGACCCCUACGGGAGGCAGCAGUAGGGAAUCUUCCGCAAUGGGCGAAAGCCUGACGGAGCAACGCCGCGUGAGUGAUGAAGGUCUUCGGAUCGUAAAACUCUGUUAUUAGGGAAGAACAAAUGUGUAAGUAACUAUGCACGUCUUGACGGUACCUAAUCAGAAAGCCACGGCUAACUACGUG